Long non-coding RNA from Grammomys surdaster, 664 nucleotides. RefSeq lists it as uncharacterized. NCBI's taxonomy places the organism in Eukaryota, Metazoa, Chordata, Mammalia, Rodentia, Muridae. The transcript has 4 exons. The record is from RefSeq and is a predicted model, not a curated record.
UCUUUUUCCCAGGUAGUGAGAAACAAAAUUUAAUUUUGUCUCUGAAUUUCUCCUCAUCCCACUUUUUGCAGAGCCUUGGGAAAUACUCCUGAGUGUGGCACUCCAGUGACUGUCACUGAAACACAAACCAAUUGAGUAGAAGUACGCUCAAAAGACUAUAAAUUUAUCAGCAUCAAGAAGCCUGGGAUGCUCUGAAGAAAAUAUACUUCAGAUUUCCUCAAGAUGCUUCAGCUGGUGCGUGAAUCACAGAUGCGACCUCCAGCUGUCCAGUAACCCAAGGUGUUUGAUAAAUAUGGAAAGGCUACUGAUGUCUACAUUUAUGGAUAUAUGGUUAUUCUGUCUGGCUGUUUCCUGGCUGUGUUCACACGCCAUGAUGCUGGGGAAGCUGUUCCACAGACCACACUUUGAGGAGAAAGAGCAGCACCAUGCAUCAUUUCAAACCACAACGCACAACCUAUUAGUGGGCAGUGAAAUUCCAGAAUGAGAAGAUGUAUGGGACAGGGGCACAGCUGACCACAGCAAUGAAGGAAGAAAUAUGCCAUAGACACUGCAAACUUCUGAGAUUCUGAAGUCAUUUAUAACUAUAACUUUACCUAUGGAAAACAGACUAAUAAAUCAUGGGCUGGUGUUAUUAAUAAAUUCCAAAGACACAAGCAUUCUCACA